AAGUUUUGGCUCCAAAUUAAUAGACCUCCAUGGACUUCUCAAAGAGUUGCGACAGGUUUUCCUGCGUCUGCGCCCUGGGUGCUAGCUUAGUGAUCCUUUCCUGGGGCAGGGUUCCCUCCACCAAGGCGGGUAUAUCGCUGCUGGAGAAUCCCAGCUCUCGGAGGCCAUUUUCUAUGCCCGCGCGUUGCAUAAAACCGCGUACAGUGUCCGCCAAAAGACGACCGGCGUCUGCUUUUUCGACACCUCGCACUUCUGCGCCAGCAACUGGGCAGCCUCCAAAUGCCGAUCCGGACAAGCUGGAGCAGUGAACUCAAAGACCGCCGGAGCACUGAUCACCACGGAUAGGCCGUGUGGAAUAAGAGCGUGAUCCGCGGAGUAGCCCUUUGGCUUGUAAUCCCUCACAUUUCCAGAAAUAGGAUAGGAAAGGCCAUGACACAGGUGCACUCCGGCAUUACCAAAUCCCACGCCAGCCAUUGUGGAAGCUAGGUGCAUCUGGGAUCGGGCUUCCAGGUUAUCGGGCUGCUUUGAACUACAAGAAGACCCGAAAAUGUGCGACUACCAGAUGGAGUACUCCUUUAUUUUUGAAGACAGCUCCUGCGAGGGCGAUGCUCGAUGGCAUCCUACGACAAUGGAUUCGAGUCCAUGUGGCAUCAAGUGCGCGAGGAGUUGCAAAGGGAGCGGGAGAUGAAUGAGCUCUGCCAGGUUUUCCAGCAAAACUUGAGCCUGAGUCCGCCGGUCAUCGCGGAUAGAUGGAGAUUCUGACUGGACCUCCCAAAAGCCAACUUAUUGUGAUAUUUGUAAAUUAUAGUUUUAGCAGUUCGUUUGCCACAUGAGUGGAACAUCGUGAAUGCACUUUUGAUAAGUGCUCGGUUAUUUUAUAUUGUAACUACCAGCCUUCAGAGGCGAUCGUAUGCAUAGUUUCUUGAAGUCAAUUUGUCCGUGUAUUCAAAUGUUUGCUUUCGUGAAAACUCGCAUUGUUUUGUCACUCUACCAAGUAAUCAAUUUGUACCAAUCAAUCGCAUAUGGUUGUCCUAGAUCUAAAAAUGGCAAUAAUUUGCACCUAAUGUAUUCAAGAACAAGGAGGGAAGCUCGAAAUUUCUCAAAUACUUACCCCAAAAAUAGAUAGAAAUAUAUUUUCGAUUCGCAAUCGUUCG
This 1154-nucleotide unclassified non-coding RNA is filed under the name Drosophila melanogaster (fruit fly). RNAcentral's name for it is "Pgc". Lineage: Eukaryota; Metazoa; Arthropoda; Insecta; Diptera; Drosophilidae. The record is from RNAcentral.